AGUGAACGCUGGCGGCGUGCUUAACACAUGCAAGUCGAACGGGUAAGUGCUGUAGCAAUACAGAUUACUGCUAGUGGCAGACGGGUGAGUAAUAUAUGGGAAUCUGCCCUGGAGUUCGGGAUAACAGUUGGAAACGACUGCUAAUACCGAAUAUUGCCGAGAGGCGAAAGAAUUUCGCUCCAGGAUGAGCCCAUAUGGGAUUAGCUAGUUGGUAGGGUAAUGGCCGACCAAGGCUACGAUCUCUAGCUGGGCUUAGAGGACGAACAGCCGGACUGGAACUGAGACACGGUCCAAGCUCGUACGGGAGGCAGCAGGGGGGAAUAUUGGACAAUGGGCGAAAGCCUGAUCCAGCGACGCCGCGUGGGUGAUGAAGGCCUUCGGGUUGUAAAGCCCUUUCGGCAGGGAAGAUUAUGACGGUACCUGCAAAAGAAGCUCCGGCUAACUUCGUGCCAGCAGCCGCCGUAA
This 465-nucleotide ribosomal RNA is filed under the name uncultured bacterium. RNAcentral describes it as "partial 16S ribosomal RNA". It matches the Rfam family "Bacterial small subunit ribosomal RNA", at positions 29 to 523 of the family's 1533-position model. The record is from RNAcentral.